This is a long non-coding RNA of Thalassophryne amazonica, 168 nucleotides long. RefSeq lists it as uncharacterized. Lineage: Eukaryota; Metazoa; Chordata; Actinopteri; Batrachoidiformes; Batrachoididae. The record is from RefSeq and is a predicted model, not a curated record. The transcript is spliced from 3 exons.
AACAGAGCACUCGGAGCAGAGUAGAGUGGCCAGGUUAUCAGGCUGUGAACACUGAGUUUCUGGCGUCGAUAAGGUGUUGAACCAGGGUUUAAAUACAGGAGGGUUGAUUACUGACAGGUGUGUUCAUCAGCUCCACAAGUCACACCACCUGGAAGACAGAGAAGAGAG